GUGUCAGCCGCCGCGGUAAUACGUAGGGUCCAAGCGUUGUCCGGAUUUAUUGGGCGUAAAGAGCUCGUAGGCGGUUUCGUAAGUCGGAUGUGAAAACUCAGGGCUCAACCCGGAGACGCCAUCUGAUACUGCGAUGACUUGAGUCUGGUAGGGGAACACGGAAUUCCUGGUGUAGCGGUGAAAUGCGCAGAUAUCAGGAGGAACACCGAUGGCGAAGGCAGUGUUCUGGGCCAGUACUGACGCUGAGGAGCGAAAGCGUGGGGAGCAAACAGGAUUAGAUACCCUGGUAGUCC
This 293-nucleotide ribosomal RNA is filed under the name uncultured bacterium. RNAcentral's name for it is "partial 16S ribosomal RNA". It matches the Rfam family "Bacterial small subunit ribosomal RNA", at positions 505 to 796 of the family's 1533-position model. The record is from RNAcentral.